This 69-nucleotide transfer RNA is filed under the name Phyllomedusa tomopterna (tiger-striped leaf frog). Its description in RNAcentral is "tRNA-Ala". It matches the Rfam family "tRNA". From Rfam's summary of the family: Transfer RNA (tRNA) molecules are approximately 80 nucleotides in length. Their secondary structure includes four short double-helical elements and three loops (D, anti-codon, and T loops). The record is from RNAcentral. Lineage: Eukaryota; Metazoa; Chordata; Amphibia; Anura; Hylidae.
AAGAUUCUAGCUUAAUAAAAGUAUCUGAGUUGCAUUCAGAAGAUGUGGGUUGAUAUCCUACGAGUCUUA